This 504-nucleotide ribosomal RNA is filed under the name uncultured bacterium. RNAcentral describes it as "bacterial SSU rRNA". It matches the Rfam family "Bacterial small subunit ribosomal RNA", at positions 8 to 507 of the family's 1533-position model. The record is from RNAcentral.
AGAGUUUGAUCAUGGCUCAGAACAACGCUGGCGGCAUGCCUAAUACAUGCAAGUCGAACGGUAACAUGAGUAGCAAUACUUGAUGACGAGUGGCGCACGGGUGCGUAACGCGUAUGCAAUCUACCUUUAACUGGUGAAUAGCCCGAAGAAAUUCGGAUUAAUACACCAUAGUAUAUUAGAGUAGCAUUACUUUAAUAUUAAAAACUACGGUGGUUAAAGAUGAGCAUGCGUGACAUUAGCUAGUUGGUGAGGUAACGGCUCACCAAGGCUACGAUGUCUAGGGGAUCUGAGAGGAUUAACCCCCACACUGGUACUGAGACAGGGACCAGACUCCUACGGGAGGCAGCAGUAAGGAAUAUUGGACAAUGGUCGCAAGACUGAUCCAGCCAUGCCGCGUGAAGGAUGACGGCCCUAUGGGUUGUAAACUUCUUUUGUACGGGAAAAAACCCCUCUACGUGUAGAGGGCUGAUUGUACUGUAAGAAUAAGGAUCGGCUAACUCCGUG